This 867-nucleotide ribosomal RNA is filed under the name uncultured bacterium. Its description in RNAcentral is "bacterial SSU rRNA". It matches the Rfam family "Bacterial small subunit ribosomal RNA", at positions 8 to 898 of the family's 1533-position model. The record is from RNAcentral.
AGAGGUUGAUCCUGGCUCAGGAUGAACGCUGGCGGCGUGCCUAAUACAUGCAAGUCGAGCGGAGGAGUAGCAAUACUUCUUAGCGGCGAACGGGUGAGUAACGCGUUGGUGACCUGCCCCGAAGUGUGGGAUAGCAGUUCGAAAGGACUGAUAAUACCGCAUGAAUUCCGAAAGAUUAGAAGCUUUUGGAGAAAGGAGAAAUUCGCUUCGGGAGGGGCCUGCGUCCCAUCAGCUAGUUGGUAAGGUAACGGCCUACCAAGGCGAUGACGGGUAGGGGACCUGAGAGGGUGGCCCCCCACAAUGGAACUGAAACACGGUCCAUACACCUACGGGUGGCAGCAGUAGGGAAUAUUGCAUAAUGGGCGAAAGCCUGAUGCAGCAACGCCGCGUGUGCGAUGAAGGCCUUCGGGUCGUAAAGCACUUUUUGGGAGGAUGAGGAGGACAGUACUCCCAGAAUAAGCCUCGGCUAACUACGUGCCAGCAGCCGCGGUAAAACGUAGGAGGCGAGCGUUAUCCGGAUUUACUGGGUGUAAAGCGUGUGCAGGCGGUACGGUAAGUUGGAUGUGAAAGCUCCUGGCUUAACUGGGAGAGGUCGUUCAAAACUACCGAACUUGAGUAUGGGAGAGGGAGGCGGAAUUCCGGGUGUAGUGGUGAAAUGCGUAGAUAUCCGGAGGAACACCAGUGGCGAAAGCGGCCUCCUGNCCCAAAACUGACGCUCAGACACGAAAGCUAGGGGAGCGAACGGGAUUAGAGACCCCGGUAGUCCUAGCUGUAAACGAUGUGAACUUGGCGUCGGCGGGUUUAACCGUCGGUGCCGAAGCAAACGCGAUAAGUUCACCACCUGGGGACUACGGCCGCAAGGUUAAA